RNAcentral lists this ribosomal RNA (483 nucleotides) under uncultured bacterium. Its description in RNAcentral is "bacterial SSU rRNA". It matches the Rfam family "Bacterial small subunit ribosomal RNA", at positions 29 to 507 of the family's 1533-position model. The record is from RNAcentral.
ACGAACGCUGGCGGCGUGCCUAAUACAUGCAAGUCGAGCGGGGAUUAUGCUUGAUCGCUUCGGUGAGACGGCAUAUAUCCUAGCGGCGGACGGGUGAGUAACGCGUGGGUAAUCUACCUCGUAGUUCGGGAUAACAGGCCGAAAGGCUUGCUAAUACCGGAUGAGUUCAUGCUUAUGCAUAUAGGCAUGAAGAAAGGGCUAGCCCGCUAUGAGAUGAGCCCGCGUCCCAUUAGCUUGUUGGUGGGGUAAUGGCCUACCAAGGCAACGAUGGGUAGCCGGCCUGAGAGGGCGACCGGCCACACUGGGACUGAGACACGGCCCAGACUCCUACGGGAGGCAGCAGUGGGGAAUAUUGCACAAUGGGCGAAAGCCUGAUGCAGCGACGCCGCGUGAGGGAUGACGGCCUUCGGGUUGUAAACCUCUUUCAGCAGGGAAGAAGCGAAAGUGACGGUACCUGCAGAAGAAGCACCGGCUAACUACGUG